ACAUCAUGUUCUUCUGCUAACAGCUGUUUCUACUUUUCUCGCUAACGCCCAUCCUCUCAUCAAACCCUAGCCUCUACACCUACGUCCAAUCAAACCAUGGCGUUGAAGCAUCUCCUAGCUCUCGCCCGCCGGUCCCACAGACCUCCACUAUCUGCUGUUUCUGCCGUCCGAUCCUCGUCUACAGCCGUUGCCUCUUCCUCGCCUUCUACUCCUCCCUCUCCUCCUCCUCCAGACGCCAUGAUCUACGACCGUCUCGCCGAAUCAGUGAAAUCCAAGCUCAAACAGCUCGAGAACCCUGACCCAAGGUUCCUCAAAUACGGUUCCCCUCACCCGACUCUCACGACCCAUAC
Molecule: unclassified non-coding RNA, 350 nt
Filed under: Hevea brasiliensis (rubber tree)
Lineage: Eukaryota; Viridiplantae; Streptophyta; Magnoliopsida; Malpighiales; Euphorbiaceae
Source: RNAcentral